GUCAGAGAAACCUAGAAAUUGAUAUAUAUGUUAGGUUUCUCCAAAAGUCAGAAUUAUCAAGUUAGAUUUCUAGAACUCAGAAAUCUGAAACAAGAAAUUGGGUGUUGGCCAACCUUUUAUCCAUUUUUGCUCUAUCCAAGGGUGGAAACCUCAAAUUUAUCCACGGAGCCCUCUGGAGGUAGAGUUGAGGUUGCUUGACGCUCUUCUCCUUUCGAGUGAAUUGCUUCAAUUCGGAUGCCUUUGUUCAAUUCUAGGGAUUGUUUCAUUAGAAAUCUUACAACUAAAACCCCUCUAUCUGAGUAGUGAAAAAAUUCUCCACUAAUUAUCUGCUUAGCACUAAGAAACCCCUCUAACUAACUAACCACCGCUAAUUUAAAUUAGUUAAGUACAGGAUGUAACUAUAUACAAGAACUACUAACUGCCUAAUCAGUUGAUCCACUAGCUUCAAGCCUUCAACAGGACUGUAGGUUUGUGACAUUGGUGGCAAGGAGUCAAUGAUUGAAGCCAUUACCAACUUGAAGUUAGCUUCGGAGAAUAGGGACUGCUUAAUCAUCAGCGGAAAAAUUUCGCUCUAUCUCUAUUUUUGAAAGUAUAUACGCCGAUUUAGCCCAUACUUUGUGUGUAAACACCCGAUUUAGCUCAUAUUUGUGUAUAAACACCUUUAUACACUAUUAUACGCCUUAUACAAGAUUGAUACAUUAAAGUUCCCCGAGAUAUUUCUUCAAAUCCAAUUCGUUUUUAA
Long non-coding RNA from Lycium barbarum (goji berry), 742 nucleotides. RefSeq lists it as uncharacterized. The record is from RefSeq and is a predicted model, not a curated record. NCBI's taxonomy places the organism in Eukaryota, Viridiplantae, Streptophyta, Magnoliopsida, Solanales, Solanaceae. The transcript has 2 exons.